Coregonus clupeaformis (lake whitefish) is the source of this 135-nucleotide small nucleolar RNA. The record is from RefSeq and is a predicted model, not a curated record. Lineage: Eukaryota; Metazoa; Chordata; Actinopteri; Salmoniformes; Salmonidae.
ACAGGCACCUAUCGAAGCCUCCCUGUUCUCUUGUAGCAGUAACGAUCAAAAGGAUGCCAAAAACAUAACUUUCACCGACAGUUGCUGUGCCGUUCGACCUUAACUGAUUCAUCAACAUUAAGGGGAAUCCCACUU